RNAcentral lists this ribosomal RNA (497 nucleotides) under uncultured bacterium. RNAcentral describes it as "partial 16S ribosomal RNA". It matches the Rfam family "Bacterial small subunit ribosomal RNA", at positions 28 to 507 of the family's 1533-position model. The record is from RNAcentral.
GACGAACGCUGGCGGCGUGCCUAAUACAUGCAAGUAGAACGCUGAAGAGAGGAGCUUGCUCUUCUUGGAUGAGUUGCGAACGGGUGAGUAACGCGUAGGUAACCUGCCUUGUAGCGGGGGAUAACUAUUGGAAACGAUAGCUAAUACCGCAUAACAAUGGAUGACACAUGUCAUUUAUGUGAAAGGGGCAAUUGCUCCACUACAAGAUGGACCUGCGUUGUAUUAGCUAGUAGGUGAGGUAAUGGCUCACCUAGGCGACGAUACAUAGCCGACCUGAGAGGGUGGUCGGCCACCCUGGGACUGAGACACGGCCCAGACUCCUACGGGAGGCAGCAGGAGGGAAACUUCGGCAAUGGGGGCAACCCUGACCGCGCAACGCCGCGUGAGGGAAGAAGGUUUUCGGAUCGUAAAGCUCUGUUGUAAGUCAAGAACGGGUGUGAGAGUGGAAAGUUCACACUGUGACGGUAGCGUACCAGAAAGCAACGGCUAACUACGUG